RNAcentral lists this small nuclear RNA (322 nucleotides) under Castor canadensis (American beaver). RNAcentral's name for it is "7SK RNA (ENSCCNG00000031344.1)". It matches the Rfam family "7SK RNA". Rfam says of the family: 7SK was discovered as an abundant small nuclear RNA in the mid-70s but a possible function has only recently been suggested. Two independent studies have found that 7SK RNA binds the CDK9/cyclin T complex (known as elongation factor P-TEFb). P-TEFb activates transcription by phosphorylating the C-terminal domain of RNA polymerase II. Lineage: Eukaryota; Metazoa; Chordata; Mammalia; Rodentia; Castoridae. The record is from Rfam by way of RNAcentral.
GGAUGUGAGGGUGAUCUGGCUGCGACAUCUGUCACCCCAUUGAUCGCCAGGGUUGAUUCGGCUGAUCUGGCUGGCUAGGCGGGUGUCCCCUUCCUCCCUCACCGCUCCAUGUGCGUCCCUCCCGAAGCUGCGCGCUCGGUCAAAGAGGACGACCAUCCCCGAUAGAGGAGGACCGUUCUUCGGUCAAGGGUAUACGAGUAGCUGCGCUCCCCUGCUAGAACCUCCAAACAAGCUCUCAAAGGUCAGUGAGUUGCAGAGCAGCAAUUUGCACUUAGAUCCAAUCCAUGUAUUUAACUGCUAAGUGGCACAGUAUUCAUAACAU